CUUCAGUCUUACACCAUCUAAAUAGACUGAGUAGAGCUUGGAAGUGCCAAAAUGUGAGAGAGAAACAGUGAGAAAGAGUGAAUAAGCAUCAAUGGCUGGAGGGAGACUGGUGAUGGAACAAGGAGAAAGCGUGAUGCUGGCAAUGCAUGGAAAAGGGAAAUCUCAAGCCAACAAGAAAGAGAAAGGUAAAAUACCUAUCCAAGCUGGUGCUGAAAUCAAGAAAGAUUAUAAGUGUUUCUUCUGUAAAAAGAAGGGACACAUGAAGAAGGAAUGCGCCAAAUUUUAAAAAUGGCUUGUGAACAAAGGGUUUGCAAAACCUAAAGAAACCAGUGGGAAGUGAGCAAAUUAUCUUAUCAGGAAACAAGAUGGGCUCGCAUGUGGAAACUAUAGGAACUUGCUAUUUAAUUUUGAGUAGUGGAUUUGUUUUGAAGUUAGAAAAGAC
This is a long non-coding RNA of Carya illinoinensis, 442 nucleotides long. RefSeq lists it as uncharacterized. The transcript has 3 exons. The record is from RefSeq and is a predicted model, not a curated record. Lineage: Eukaryota; Viridiplantae; Streptophyta; Magnoliopsida; Fagales; Juglandaceae.